RNAcentral lists this ribosomal RNA (253 nucleotides) under uncultured bacterium. Its description in RNAcentral is "partial 16S ribosomal RNA". It matches the Rfam family "Bacterial small subunit ribosomal RNA", at positions 524 to 776 of the family's 1533-position model. The record is from RNAcentral.
UACGGGGGGAGCAAGCGUUGUUCGGAUUUACUGGGCGUAAAGGGCGCGUAGGCGGUAGCACAAGUCAGUUGUGAAAUCUCCGGGCUUAACUCGGAAAGGUCAACUGAUACUGUGCGACUAGAGUGCAGGAGGGGCAACUGGAAUUCUCGGUGUAGCGGUGAAAUGCGUAGAUAUCGAGAGGAACACCUGCGGCGAAGGCGGGUUGCUGGGCUGACACUGACGCUGAGGCGCGAAAGCCAGGGGAGCGAACGGG